This 37-nucleotide ribosomal RNA is filed under the name Gammarus elevatus. Its description in RNAcentral is "partial 12S ribosomal RNA". The record is from RNAcentral. Lineage: Eukaryota; Metazoa; Arthropoda; Malacostraca; Amphipoda; Gammaridae.
UCGGAACAAAGUAGAAAAACCUGAAGGUUUUUCUAAA